GACGAACGCUGGCGGCGUGCCUAAUACAUGCAAGUUGAGCGAUGAAGAUUGGUGCUUGCACCAAUUUGAAGAGCAGCGAACGGGUGAGUAACGCGUGGGGAAUCUGCCUUUGAGCGGGGGACAACAUUUGGAAACGAAUGCUAAUACCGCAUAAUAACUUUAAACAUAAGUUUUAAGUUUGAAAGAUGCAAUUGCAUCACUCAAAGAUGAUCCCGCGUUGUAUUGGCUAGUUGGUGAGGUAAAGGCUCACCAAGGCGAUGAUACAUAGCCGACCUGAGAGGGUGAUCGGCCACAUUGGGACUGAGACACGGCCCAAACUCCUACGGGAGGCAGCAGUAGGGAAUCUUCGGCAAUGGACGAAAGUCUGACCGAGCAACGCCGCGUGAGUGAAGAAGGUUUUCGGAUCGUAAAACUCUGUUGGUAGAGAAGAACGUUGGUGAGAGUGGAGAGCUCAUCAAGUGACGGUAACUACCCAGAAAGGGACGGCUAACUACGUG
Molecule: ribosomal RNA, 497 nt
Filed under: uncultured bacterium
Lineage: Bacteria
Description: partial 16S ribosomal RNA
Rfam family: Bacterial small subunit ribosomal RNA
Source: RNAcentral